RNAcentral lists this small nuclear RNA (309 nucleotides) under Oryctolagus cuniculus (rabbit). Its description in RNAcentral is "7SK RNA". It matches the Rfam family "7SK RNA". From Rfam's summary of the family: 7SK was discovered as an abundant small nuclear RNA in the mid-70s but a possible function has only recently been suggested. Two independent studies have found that 7SK RNA binds the CDK9/cyclin T complex (known as elongation factor P-TEFb). P-TEFb activates transcription by phosphorylating the C-terminal domain of RNA polymerase II. The record is from Rfam by way of RNAcentral. Lineage: Eukaryota; Metazoa; Chordata; Mammalia; Lagomorpha; Leporidae.
GGAUGUGAGGGUGAUCCGGCUGUGACAUGUCACCCCAUUGAUCACCAGGGUUGAUUCCGCUGAUCUGGCCGGCUGGGCAGGCAUCCCCUUCCUCCCUCCCCCCACCAUGUGCGUCCCUCCAGAAGCGGUGCACUUGGCUGCAGAGGUUGACCUUCCCCACUAGAGGAAGACUGGCCUUCAGUCACGGGUUUACAAGUAGCUGCGCACCCCAGCUACAACCUCCAAACAAGCUCUCAAGGUCCAGACAUACUAUACUGAUGCUGCACCUGCUUUGUUCACAGACCUCUGGGAUUGAUAGACCAUGUUCUG